CAGAAAAGUAAUUUUAACCUCCCAUACUCAAUGUAAAUGUCUUCUUACUCAACACUGUCAAACUCAUGAAAAAAUAGGGGGAAAUAUAGGAAAACCAAAAAGUAACCAAGGACUAAAGACCAUACCGGACAAACUGGAAAAGGGCUAGGCAAAGGUGACCAAGACAGCGCCCACCUCGAAGAUUGCCAGCCGACGAAGCUCUAAACAAUUUCACAACACAUAGCAGGAAACUGACUGCCACAUAUAGAACAUCUCACAUAAACCCAACUAAAUCUCCAUCCAGAGGAGGGGUACUAGGAAUCCAAAUGGAGACUGAAAAAAAACUAAGAAAAGAAACAAAAGAAAACCGACUAAGAAAACUAACGAAACAGCUUGCUAAAGAAAUGGGGUAGAGGAGAGUCGACGGCCAGAUGAACAAACCUCCCCUAAGG
This 431-nucleotide unclassified non-coding RNA is filed under the name Hevea brasiliensis (rubber tree). Lineage: Eukaryota; Viridiplantae; Streptophyta; Magnoliopsida; Malpighiales; Euphorbiaceae. The record is from RNAcentral.